UGAAAGACGAAGAAGAGGAGGAGUAGACGUGGGCGCAUCUACAGAGAGGGGAGUGGAUGCUGAGAGCUCCCUGAUGGGCCGCGUCGAACGUCGCCUCGGAGUCGCGUCGCCCAAAGAACUCGCUUAAGGGUUUAAGUAGGCGCGACGGGUGCGCCCGUUAUCGCGCCCAAAGCGCCCGAGCUGUCCAACAGCAGCUUGGGAAGGAAGGUGGUACCGCGUGGGUACACCAGGCCCGCGUCCUUCCU
RNAcentral lists this non-coding RNA (245 nucleotides) under Chthonomonas calidirosea. RNAcentral describes it as "T-box sequence". It matches the Rfam family "T-box leader". Rfam says of the family: Uncharged tRNA acts as the effector for transcription antitermination of genes in the T-box leader family. The record is from RNAcentral. Lineage: Bacteria; Bacillati; Armatimonadota; Chthonomonadia; Chthonomonadales; Chthonomonadaceae.